This 58-nucleotide transfer RNA is filed under the name Mus musculus (house mouse). It matches the Rfam family "tRNA", at positions 8 to 63 of the family's 71-position model. From Rfam's summary of the family: Transfer RNA (tRNA) molecules are approximately 80 nucleotides in length. Their secondary structure includes four short double-helical elements and three loops (D, anti-codon, and T loops). Further hydrogen bonds mediate the characteristic L-shaped molecular structure. tRNAs have two regions of fundamental functional importance: the anti-codon, which is responsible for specific mRNA codon recognition, and the 3' end, to which the tRNAs corresponding amino acid is attached (by aminoacyl-tRNA synthetases). tRNAs cope with the degeneracy of the genetic code in two manners: having more than one tRNA (with a specific anti-codon) for a particular amino acid; and 'wobble' base-pairing, i.e. permitting non-standard base-pairing at the 3rd anti-codon position. Lineage: Eukaryota; Metazoa; Chordata; Mammalia; Rodentia; Muridae. The record is from Rfam by way of RNAcentral.
UGGCUCAGUGGUUAAGAGCACUGACUGUUCUUUCAGAGGUCCUGGGUUCAAUUCCCAG